This 1301-nucleotide long non-coding RNA is filed under the name Felis catus (domestic cat). RNAcentral's name for it is "lncRNA (ENSFCAG00000048983.1)". Lineage: Eukaryota; Metazoa; Chordata; Mammalia; Carnivora; Felidae. The record is from RNAcentral.
AAGACAAGGUGAGGUACUUAUGCGGUGUUGGUGCUCUUAGGGAGAGGCUUUGUCUGCCAUAUGUCAGAGAGGACUUGGGAAGAGCACGAGGCAGGCUCCAAGCUAACCAUGAGCCGAGAUUGUUCCAAUGGCUCCUAUGCCAUUACUAAUAAGAAAUUUGUUUUUUCAGGAGACUGGCACCAGUAAAACAUAAGCUUCUGGCUUUUACUUUAAAGGAAAGAUGCCAGCUUCUCAGCUCAUCCUUUAAUUGCCUUCUACGUAAUAGGAGAGGUUGUUAGUAUAGAGAACAAGCCAGAACAGGGAUAGGGAAGCCAACCGCUCUCGAUUCCGACCAUGGAAAGUUCACUGGGAGGCGUGGUUUGAAUCCAACCAGAGGAUGCAGGAGACUGGAGAAGAUUUCCCUUUCGCUUCAGGCCCACAGCAAAGUACAUUGCCCUCUUUCCUUUGCGAAGCAACCACCGAGCACUUCUCAGAGAAAUGCCACAAAGAUGCCUCAGCCUCGAACAAGAGUCCUUCGCCACGGCCUGGUUUCCUUCAGCCCCGAGAUACCAGAGUAAAGAGGGGAAUACGGAGAAGUCUGUCCUGGGAUGCAGGACACAUAGGCCUUGAGCCUGAGAGUUGCUGAGGCCUCAGCACAGAGUGCCAGAGUAUUCCGUAGCUGCACAUCUUUCACCAGACAGCCAGGUGGCAUUCAGGCGAAUGCAAGUGUGGCGUGACAAAAGGACUCAGGAUUGGGACACCGACGUCCGGGGCCCUGGAACUGUGCAGCGGCAUUGUGGUCCCCAUGCCCUCAGCCUCGGAACCACAGUGCACACAGACCAGCCUUCCAAAUGCCUGAAUCUCUACACUGCGUUGCUUUGCCGGAGGGAGUUCUCUGGAUAUCUCCCCGUGACAGACCGAAGCACCUGAGAAUGAGUAUCUCCCCCCACUUCUGUGGUGGUCUUCAACCCCAAACCAUCAGGAACUGGGGUCUGCAGCUCCCUUCUCCCUCAGGUGCAGGAACUCCAAGGUAAGUGUUGAGUUUCUCCUGGGGUGACAGUCCAGUUACCCAGCUGAUACCUGCUCACGGCCUCGCCUGUCAUUAGCUGCCUCUCCUCUUUCGCCCUUGUCCACUCUCUUCCUGGUGUUUCCUCAGCUCAUCCCCCAAAGAAUGAAAUCCUGUGUCAAGGCCUGAUUCUGGUCUUCUUCGAAGACACAGUGGCUGACCUGGUCGGCCUAAAGCCGUUUGAUUCUAGGGAAGCUGUUUAACUUCUCUGAGAGUCGCUGUUCUCAAAUGUAAAGCACGGAAGGGAUUUUAAAGC